Coturnix japonica (Japanese quail) is the source of this 16247-nucleotide non-coding RNA. Lineage: Eukaryota; Metazoa; Chordata; Aves; Galliformes; Phasianidae. The record is from RefSeq and is a predicted model, not a curated record.
GUGGGCGCCCUGUGGAGGUGCCCGAGGGGUGGGUGCUGGACGGAGGGGUUCUCUAGGCCCGUCUGUUCGGCUUUGCAGUCAGAGCAAUGGGCACUCUUCCCAUGAGAAGCCCUUCCCGUCCCCGCCGCCCCUUGAGGUGUGAGGUGGCUGUAAAGAUGGCCUCCAGCACGCCCACACCAAUCGCGUGUGGCCAUCAAGCACAUUGCAAAGGUUUUCUUUUGGCCAGAUGUUCUUCAGAUUCUAAUUAUAGUAUCGUCACCGCGUGUAAAUUCCUAUGAAAUCUAUAAGAUCUAUAUUUGUUUAAAUUUAUGUCAAAAAAAUGCUUUUCGGAUCAAGCCAAGGGGGAAAUAAAGUUUUGCCGUGGCAUUAAGACAAGUACCUCUGUUAUAGGCCCACUAGAUGAACUGGUAACACAAGAGAGUAGGACAGGAAGAAAACAGAAGCGAGCAACUUAAUAGUUAGGAAAUCAGAUGGCUGUAAGAUUAAGGAGAUUAGUGGAAUCCAUCAAGAGCAGUUUGAUGUCAGUAGGUUGAUGUAAGAGGAAUGAAGGAACGAGUCUUCCUUCUUGAGGGAAGUCAUGUCAGUGUGCUGGCUCCUCAGAUUCAAAAUGCAGGUUUUAAAAACAGAAAGGGCAUAGAGAAGAUGUAGAAAUAGUAUCGAUGGUGUUUAAAAGUUAUGUUUGUACUGUUUGAUACAGUAGUCUCACAGAAUUAACUAUUUCCUUCAUAUCCUUUUCAGUCAUCUGAUAAACACAUUAUCUUCUACCGCUCUAAAGGUUCCUACCCUUACCCUACCCUUCCAAAGCUGUCUGUACCUAUCCUUAUCCUCUGGUAGCCCAGGAACCAGUCGAUAGUCCCAAUGCGAAACUGUAUUCUAGGAAAAUGCAUCUAUUCAUGGGCUGUUAAUGAGACUUUGUUUGCACUAGCAUCAUGUGAUGCAGUCACCACGGUUAUGUUACAGAAAGGGUAAGAAUAAUACACCUCACAUCCACACGGACGUGUGCUCGGGCAGCAGAGCCACUUGUAUAAAUUAAUUUUAAGAAAAGUCAGCAACCGUAUAUUUUUCCAUUACUCCAGUCUUUUCUUCUGCGAACAUGAGCCAAAUUUGCUUCUGUAACUGCAUUGUAGAGACUUUUUUUUUCCCCUGAGGAUUUAGCACUGUGUUUAAUCACAGCUUAUGAAGUCUAUCUAGUUUGUUUUUUUUCUACUUCGCUGCACUGGCACAAAAUGGCUGUAGGAGCCAUUCUUCUGUAGAGGCAGUCUGCACACUGUAGUCCUGGAGUAUUUUAAAUAGUAAGCACAUAAGCACGCUUUCCUAUGUUUUUAGUUUGGCCAGAUAACACUGCUGAUACAGUAAUGUCUUAUAGAGACUAAAAACCAUUUAGGAUCAGCUGAGAAAAGUUACAUCUUUGCCUGUGCAAAGCAAUGAUUGAUACACUGCACUUAUUACCAGUGCUCAGAGUUACAUUAGGUUAAGGCAAGGAUGAACUAGCGCAAGACUUUAACAUUUAUAUGGUGUUUAGACACUAUUCCACAACCCCUGCAAAUCACAGAAUUACAGAAUUUUAAGGGUUGGAAGGGACCUCUGAUGACUGUCCAACUGAAGCAGGUUCCCUACAGUAGGUAGCAGAGGAAGAGAAGCAGACCCCACAGCCUCUCUGGGCAGCCUGUCCCAGAGCCCUAUCACCCUCAAAGGAUUUCUUCUUAUGUUCAGAUGGAACUUCCUCUGUUCCAAUUUGUACCUAUUGGCCAUUGUCCUGUUACUUGGCACCAUUGAAAGAGCCUGGCUCCAUCCAUCUGAUAUGCACCCUUUAGAUAUUUAUAAGCAUUGAUAAGAUCCCCUCUCAGUCUUCUCCAGGCUGAACAGUCUCAAGUCUCUCAGCCUUUCCUCAUAAGGGAGAUGCUCCAGGCCUCUCAUUGUAAUUCCAUUGUGUCCGUCCCCAUCGAAACAAGUAGGACACGGAAGAAGAAGAGGAACUGAUGCAUAAAGACAAGAUAAACUUAUGACAACAGAAAAACCCACAAGAACUAGAACAAAAUCAUACCCCUUCCCACAAUGGUUGGACAGAGCACUGUAAAAUAUCAGUAUCAAUUCUCCCUUUCCACACCAAGGACUACACGGUGACCUUGCAGACCAAGUUAAGUGAACACAGCCUUCAAAGCAGUGGUCUGCUGGGGGCAUUCCCAGUCAAAUUCACCAAUCCCAUCAACAUCUGUACGGAGCAGACAUUGCUCCCCAGAAGUUAUUUUCCUUUUUGUCACUGUCUUAGCUGGAAUUAGCACGCACAGUAAAACACCAUCACACCUUUCUCCCGGGAAACAUUUGUCACAUCUAGGCCAGAGAAGAUGAAGAAUACGUUCUUCCUUAUUUUAAAGUGAGGUGCCAAGUGCUGAUGCUUUCCAUUAAGUGUUUGAUAUAGGUUUCAGAGUACUUCCCUCAGGGAAAACCAUUGCUCUGUAACAUUCAGAGGAAGGUAUAACAAGGAGAGUGGAGCAAAAACUGAGAUCCUAUCGGAGUCUACACACUUUCAAAAAUCUACAUUUGCCUUGAAUGCCUUGGGACAGCUUUUCAGAAGCUACAUAAGAAGUGCUUCUUGCUUCACAUCUCCACGUGCUUCGGGAGUUCACGUUGGAGGCAAUAUUAAGUUCUGAAACUUAAAGCCUUUUGGGAUGCACAGGCAUUCUUAGCACGGUUGGAGAGGCAUCCUGAAUGCAGUGGAAAUUAUACAUUAGAGCGAGAGCUUGGAAGUGAGGGAGCAAACUCAAAGAUCAGGGCAGCUGCAGGCAAGGAUGGAGCAGAGCUACACACACGUAUCCUACUGUUAUCAAUUAAUGGGUUCAUCUCUCUAGGGCAGAAAUAGACUUACUGAAGUGCCAUGAGCCAUGGAAACCAAAGGAGUUCGGGCAGUCACCAGGCGCAGUGCAAUCCUAAUCCUUGUUAGUUUGUUCCUACCUGAAGGUUUUAAAGAGGAAAAACUCUUCAAGUCUAAAUGUAUCUUUUGUUUCGAGGCACUUACCUGGGUCUGAGAACAUCAAUACUCUGCUGCUCUAAGUGUAUCAGCCUGAUGCUUCCAUUGCUUUUAUAUCCCUUUUAUCUUCCUCUGUCUACAUUUUCUUUGUUGCCAUUGCCCACUUGACUUAGAAACAAGUUCUUUCUGACUGCCCCUGAGGUUUUCACACAAUGUCUAACGCAAAAUAGCAACGCUAAAAUGUCUAUUUGUUUUUGCAUAUCUCCUGAUCCAUUCACCACAACCGAAUUAUUUCUAGUGAGUUUACAUUUGGGAUGAGCAAAAUCGCAUUUGGGAUGAGAAAAAUAACAAGAUGAAGCGUUUACAUCCAAGUGAUGUUUUGGAGUUAAAAUCAGCUGUGGUGCAGUACUAGAACAAGCCAAAGUGAAGCCCUUCAAUGAUGAAACUUUGUCUCCUAGAAGUUGUACUGAAGACUUCUUAGGCACUGUUCACUGCUGAACUUUGGGGAUUGCCUUAGUUAAGCAUGUCCCAUCUCCUCACAGCUACAAGAUGUUGGGUGACACAGAUCUGAUCUCCUCCAACCACCUGAGCACUCUCUGUCUGUGGGCCUUUUGGGACACAUGUCAUAGUUGUGUCCCGGAAUUCCACAGGGAUGCUGAUACAAAGCUUGUAUCCUCGCUGCUAUUUUCAUUGACACUCAGCAGAGAAGAGCUUGGCUUUGACAAGUCUGGGUGAGAUGGGAGGCAAUGAGAAAUGAGACAAGAGAGAAAAAAAGAAGAAGGAGAUGUUUUGGAAUGGGACAGGAGGGCCAGCGAGUUGGUGCUGCAGACAUGGAGUCAUGCAUUCCAGAGGAUCAGCAGCAGAAUCUCAUGCUAUAUUACUUACUGUCCCAUUUAGGGCCAAAUAUUUGGUCAAGUGUUAGUUUUCCUUUCCUUAUAGUCUUGAAUCAUGUCUAUCCUAAAUACUUAUGGACUAUUUAUACUGAGUCAAAUUAGCACUUACACAUACUCACAAAUUAGAAUAUUUUAGAGUUAAGUUUCAUAUCAGAUUUCAACAAACAGGUAUUUCAGUGCUGUCUGUUUAGUUAAAUGCUAUUUGUUACUGUGUUUCAUUCAGCACUUUAGUGUUUUGCUGUAAGGACUGUGUAAUGAAGAAGCCAAUAAACAAGCAAAUAAGAACCAUAAGAUUUUUCCUUAAGAAUAUCGAAAACCAUUUUGGGUAAAGCCUUUCCUUCCUGUCUGCCAUAAGCUUUUUGUGUGUGUGUAGUAGUGGAUAACUCACUUAAAUGAGAGCGUGCUCAUUAACCAUUACUUUUGUUAUAACAAAAUCUUAUCUCAUCUGGAAUCAGACCUGCUGGCUGCAUCCUCUUCUCAUCUACAGGAAAACAGGACAACCACUGGGGAAUUCUGAAUUAUGUAUUCCUUGAGCAUUUAGUUGAACACAAAGGCUGACAUUCAACUCACAGCUAAAAUCAUCAGUCCUUCUUCCUGGUUUGUUUUUAAGGCACAAGUCAAGAAUGUAGGCCUGUACUCUGAGAAGCUGGGCUGCCCUCUGGAUUUCUUCUACUUCUCUAUUUAUCCUCCUUUAAUUUUCUCACUGAUGAAGCCUUGUUCACCACCGUCUUUCUCCACGGGCAUAACAAGCAGCACAGAAUUUCUUUGGAAAGCCCUUUGUCAUCACCAUUCCUUUACAGCCAGAUGUAAUGCUAUGAAGUGACACAGUAUACUGCAAAACCACGGCUGGGAAAUGAAGAUGAUGUCACUGCAUCUUCAAAGCAGGAAAAUACCCUCUUCUCAAAGUAGAUGCUGCAGUCUGGGGCAUCACAUAGGAUUAACAGCAGAAGGAGCCCAGUCCUCAAAGCUAAUGAAAAUGCUGUUGGUGAAGGUCAGGAAGGCGUGUACAGAACAACAGCGUGGCCUCUGUAAAUAAAGCACCGGCACACAGCGCACUUACUGUGCCACUCCUCAUCCCUGCAGACUAAUUGUCUCUGAUGAAGACUUUAAUUGUUCCAUGACUGCUGACGUGUUUAAUUAAAGGCUCACAUGGCUACGUCUUUGGUGAGAAAAUGUGAAGCAAUCACAAACAUGAAUAAGGUAAGAAAUCACAAAGGUACGCUCAGAAGCAAAACAUUCAAAUGCUCUCUGGUGCAGUAUUGCAGCAGAACACCAGUGAGUGAGUUUCCGCCUGACCUUAAAAUUCAGUUCAGUUCUGGGGGGAGAAAAGACCAGCACGGACAGAGUAAGUCAUCUGACCACAGGAAGCUGUGUUGACAAAAAUUCAUACAGUAGAAAUUGGAAACCCACGCUCCAAAGCUUUCUUGUAUUAACAGUUCAGUGUCCAACUCUGUGGUAUGUAAUUUAUGGUGAAUUCUCUAAUACAGUCCAGCCUUGCAUAUUUUGCCAUUUAUUAUUCUUACUUAGAAAGUGGCAAAGACCAAGUUAUCUAUCUGAUUCCUGAAGCCAUAUUUAUUUAUUUAUUUUACCAUUUUUAAUAUAUACCUCUCAUGGUAACUGUCCAUAGCCUCCACUUUUGUCAGAUCUCUAUUUUCAGUCCUUGUUGAUGGGCCUGUUCGGGCUUACUUGUUUUUGCAGUCUUGUGGGGUGUUUUUUUUUAGAGACAGUAAAAUUUAGGGGAAUUGGAUGUUUGCAUGUGGAGUUGAGGCAGUUGAGCAGAAACACGGACAGAAUUAUGUUGUUUCUUCAUUGGUUUUUAUGAAAGUUUCUUCUAAAUACAGCUCUGGACUGACUCCUGACCUCAUCCUUUGGGAUUUAAUCUAGGAAAAGGCAUCCAUAAAUCCAUACUCAGAAUGUUUUGUCUAUAGACUCGUCUAUACUUUGUGUUUUAAAAGUAGAUUUCUUUGUCGCUGAUGGUCCCUUAGUAACUACAAUAGCACCUAAGCAUCUUGGUGUAAUAGUUUCAUGGGUUUUGUGUAUUGAAACCCUCUUGUUUCAGAAAUUGAUUGUGUGAAAAGGCGUCCUGUAAAACCUCUUGGUAAGUCCCAUUUUGUUUUUUAAUAUCUGCAAAAACAAAGUGAGUGCCCAUUCCCCUGGGAGCUCUGGAGAUAUGUUAGAUGCCAAGAGUUGCAUAUUUGAAACUGGUCCUACAGUAGAGCAAGUAAAUGUUAUCAAUAUGCUUUAUUUGGGAAGGGUUCCUUGGCCAAAGAAGGGCUUUAACAACUAGAAAGAGGAGAGAGUCUGCAGAAUAUGAAGGUAUUGAUGAGGAGGAUAAGCAGCGUGUUACAGAUUGGAUAUCCACAGGGAUGAAAGGAGAAGGAGCAGUGAGUGAGCCCCAUGAUGGCUGCUGCAGAAAAGGGUGACCGUAUCCUUCGAAGCCUCUGCAUCAGAUGGGAACGCAGAUAUCCACAGCCUGGGGAAUAGCGGGAGGGGUGCUCUGCAGGGAUGGAGCAGGGGGAAAUCAAACCCAGAAAUGGGGAAAUUGAACUUUGUCUGACAGAGAGAAGGAAAUGAAUUAUCAGCGCACAGAGACCGAAAGAAGGACUUUUAAAAAGUUAUUUCAAGAUGCAAAUGCUUCCUUUAUUGUUUCCUAUUUGCAUUUUAAAGUACUUCAGUAUCAGAGCUGAGGCAUCUAGAGAGGGCAAACCUGCCUCGGGUCAGCUCAGAGGUCACGCAGAGGAGUAUUCAAAACAUGUUUGUCAAAAAGGUAAGCCUCACCAAGUUUGCUUUCAACUUGAACAGCCUGUUGCUCCAAGAGCUAUUUGAGACUACUCUCAAUGAAAAACAGAGGUGGAGAGAAAGGUCGAUUCUUUUGGCUCUUAAUUUUUCAUGCGUACAUAUUUUCACGUUGCUUUUUAAGAAAAAAAAAACAAAAACCCUGCCAUUGAUUGCCUGGGUCAACAAGGAAUAAAAAAUAUGGAUUUAAAGAAUGAACAGCACAAACCUGAGUGUUCAUCACUGCUUUAAAUCCCAUUGGAACAGAGCGGCUCUAGAGCUGUGCCUGUGGGUGCCAGUAUGGCAGCAGGCAGUGAGCGCCCAAACCCUGCAGCAACGCUAUUGCCCCAAGUGAAGACCUCGCCCAGUGACCCCAACCUGCUCCCACAUGCUCUGACCUGCAGGCAGCCAUUUCUACACGAACAUACAAAAGGUCUUUGCCAGUUGUGGUAUGGUGCAAAAAUAAAGGAAAUCUCCCUCUUUGCCCGUUAUAAUGAUUUGUGUGUUUCCAGCUUAUUCUAACUCACAGCUCAGCGUACGGGCAACAAUGCUUAAUUACAUUGAGGCCAAGAUGAAACUGGAGGAGCCUGGUAACCAUGGAGAUCAGUGAUCAAUAAUAUAAUACUAUUUGUUUAUAAAUUAUCCAUAGCCCCUGUAUCCUUUUGUAAAAGGCAAGUGAGAUCCAGGCAACACAUUGAAUUUAUAAUUAUUGUCUGAAAUAAAAUGUGAUUAUGCUUUCUGUGGGUGACUACCUGCCCAUUAAUAACAUUAUUUUCAGAUCAUUCAAUACGAUAUGGAUCGGUGGAGAUAACUGUGUUUGGAGGGGAAAUAUAAAGCUGCUCAAUAAAGGGGAGGCCAGAAAGAUACAUCUGAAGGCCGGCAUGUGGAAAGUACUGCUUUCAACCAGAAGUCUCAGUAGAUACAACUGAGCUGUGUUAGACUUGUGGUGUGAUUAGGGGAACGUCCUAAAAGCUUACACACCAUUCACAAAGCACAAAGCACGUUACCAAAUCCUUCUCCAGGAACAACAUCCUCAUUGUGAAGCUCUGAAGGUAGCAGCUGUAAUGUGAAGACCGUCUCAGACAAUGAUGAAGAAGAUUCUGGAGGGGUUUUCAAACCUUUUAGUUGCUUUUCCUUUUGGAUAAUUAAGGCAUGUUCUGAGUUUUUUAUCCUCCUCCUUGCUUUUAUAUAAGCAACUCAUUAGUUUUACGCAGUAGUUUUCAUUGGAAAGCCAAUAGUCAUCAAAAUUUAAAGUUUUCAUAUGCUUUCCUAUUCUGGUUUAUUAGGGUGGGAAAACGAAGUGGUUUUCACCUCCUUACAACCUAUUUCAGUGUUUCUGUGGUAUUUCCACAUUUUUAAUACUUCCAGUUUCUUUUCAAAACCACUUUGCUAAAAAAUGUGGAAAUGAUUUUUUGAUAUCAUCCAUUUUCAUGUAAUGCAUGUAAUGCAAACCCGUCAAUGACCUGCUUUGUGUUUCACUUCAUGAUGAGUUUGUUUCCCUUCAGUUGGGAAUGAUACUUGAAGAAAUCUUCCACAGAAUAUGAAGUCUGCCUCCCCAGCAGCAUGAAAGGCACAGUGUGGGGAAGUGGGAGCCAUUUCACCACCAUCUACUGGAGUGUUUUAGUCAAACUAGAGACUGAAUGAACGCAAGGGAUGGAAUGAUGUUCCAGAAUAAAGAUAUAGUUACGUGAUCUGCACUGAGAGGAUGAGAAUUAACUGGUUAUGACAAAUCCCUCUGUUGCAACGCUUACAUAAUAUUUAUGUAAUUGUCAUAACAAAUCCCACUUUUGUGACUCCUCACAAGCGAAGUGAAAGCAGUUACACUGCUGCUGAAUGUGAGCUUUGGAAGGGAUACUCAGAGAUGCAGGAUUCUGUUGGAUGAGAGGCUGGACAAGUACGUUCUUGAAGCAUGGAAGGCAAAUGGUAUCCCGGGCUGCAUCAACAGAGUGGUGGCCAGCAGGGAGAGAGAGAGAUGAUUGCAUCCCUCUACUCUGCUCUUGUGAGGUCCCAUCUGCAGUACUCAUCCCAGUCCUGGGGGCUCCAGGAAUAUCUUGUCGCAAUCUUCCAGUACCUGAAAGGAGCUUACAGACUUACACAGAUUAUAGUGAUAGGACAAGGGGGAAUGGAUUUAAGCUGGAAGAGGGAAGGUUUAGGUUUAGGUUAGCUGCUAGGAAGAAAUUCUUCACUCAGAGAGAGGUGAGGCACAUGAAUGAGCUGCUCAGAGAAAUUGUGGAUGCCCCAUCCAUGGAAGCAUUCAAGGCCAGGCUUGAUGGGCUCCUGGGCAGCCUGACCUUGUGGCUGGCAACUCAUCCCACAACAGGGGCACUGGAACUAGUGACGACCUUUGAGGCCUCUUCCAACCCAAGCCAUCCUAUGAUUUGGAGAUUCUGUGAUUCUGUGCCAAGAUCCCCUCACAUCAGCCCAUACUGCCGCCCUGCUGGGGCUAUCAGCACCACGGGGCUUCAGCAUCCUCACCAGAUGGAUGGUUGAAACACACAGAAAAAGGCUCAGAAAACAAUACAAUGUCUGUCUGCUCAGCAGAGGAGAGAAAAGGUGAGACACUGUUGCCUAAAAAUAGAGAUGAGCUACAGCUGCAGGGUGAGCCCUGUUGAUGAGAGCACACCAGUCGCUCUCUGGCUGCUUGGCAGGCACCAGGCACACACACAGCUUGUUGUUAAGCAGCAUGGAAAGCAGUCAUGAAUGAGUCGACUUUCUCCCUGUCCAUUUUUAGUCUUACUGCAAAGAAGAGGUCACCAGAAUUCCUUUUCCCUGAGCUUCAGUCUUGGAAAUAGCUGAGCUGCUUAGAAUUGGAAAGGAAAAAAAAAGGAGUAGGAAAAUAAGAAAUGUAGACAACUAUAGAUGAAAGACAAGAGCUGUGUUUAGAUGUGUCUCCUUCCCAAGAGGGAUCACCGCUUCUGACCAGAUUUUGACAGUUCUUUCAUUAUGAUGGUUUUCUCCACAUUCAGCACGUAAAAUCCAUCACUGGGAGAGGGAUGAGGAUGGAGAGCAAAGAGAAGGCAGCAAUGGGAACAAUAAACCAUUUGGUUCCUGCUGGAGAACGUACCUGUAUAUAACUGAUGGACUACCUGGUAAUGGAGCUGUUGACAACAGAUGUGGCAAAAUGACAGGAUUGCAGCCAGCAGAGCCACAGGAAGCAUCUGAUAUCUGAACUGAAGAAGAAAAUUUCCAUGGAAAAUCUGAAGAAUAAUCAUUUUACCAUCCAUCCGUCCAUCCAUCCAUCCAUCCAUCCAUCCAUCCAUCCAUCCAUCCAUCCAUUCAUCCAUCCAUCCAUCCAUCCAUCCACCCACCCACCCAUCCACCCUUUCUGUAUAUAUACCUUUAGUUAAAACACACUUAUAUUAAAAUAUCUCCAUGAUGAGGACAAGGUACGGGCACCAGCUGGCAGCUCAGUGUUAGGAAGGAUGCGUGAGCUCAUGAGGACGCCUUCUCACAUACAUGGAGAAAGAAGCAGAUGAAAAAAACUGGGUGCUGGCCUACAACAAAGCUCGCCCUUCCCUCCUGCGUGGAUGGAAACAAGGAUGACUGAGAUUAUAAUGAAGCACACCGGCAUGAAGAAAGCACAGAAAGGAGGUUUGUGUCAGAGAAAUUUUCCUCUCAAACCUUCUGGCCUGGGCUGAGCCUUCAGACCAUGAGGCACCUAAAAAUUCAGGUCGGAUGUAUAUGGGACAAAAAGUUCAAGGGUGGAAAUUCUCAGAUAGGGAUCUCCACUCUUCUUUGUUUACUCCAUAUUUCAUCGUCUCCAUAACAUAAUAAACAAUGUCGAAGAGGCUGCCUCUAGGUCAGAGGAGUUUAAGAUCAAUAGAUAUGUACAGGGGGAAAGGUAAACAGAGCAACCCAAGUGUUACUGAGUUACAUGGACUACUCUGUUAGAGACUGACAGAUUACGGGUCCUGAUCUCCAGUCUGAAAUGAUGUAUCAGAAGGGAAUGGUAUUUCAAAGAACAUUUUAAGCACUGUGUUCAUAGGGUGUUUCUUUAAAGAAGAAGACCGUCAGUCUGUGUAUGAGUGAAAACAACUUCUGGAGGCAAGGUGAUGCAGCAUGUCCCAUAAAGGCCUUGCUCAGUCAAUUGCAAUUUGCCUGAAAACACGAUAAUGUAUUCUCAAGUUUCCAAGCAAGAGCCAAUCCUUCACUUGAAUUAUCUCACCUGUUCAAGAAGGGUACGCUGGUUGGCUUCUAUUUUUCCUAACAAUUACUUUUGUUCUGGGGAAAAUAAUCUUCAUACAGGUAAGCUGCUCUUGCGGUGGAUGUUAGGAACAUCGUUCCUAUUGCAUGCCAUGAAGUUGAGGGUGUGUUCAACACCACCUAAGUCAUCACCAGAGACUGCUUUCUUGUAGUCACUGUGCACGUCCUCUUACACAUAGCCAGAGUCCCGUUGCUACAUGAGCUCCUCACGGACAAGUCCCAUCUGACUUAUUUUUGAUGUCCAUGAUGAACAGAUCAGUCUUGGGAUGACUUCCUCUUAUAGGAGACAGACUUUCUCACCUUGGCCAAAACCUGUAAUACUGGAAAAGGGUUCUACUCCCAGACACUCUUUCAGAUUUGUACAAAUGAACAGCCAGAACAAAUGUGCCAUACUUUUUAUUUGCUUUUAUUUAAUGGUACAAAAAUAACCACAGCAUGAAUAGAGGUGAUUUCACCAGCCAAUCUCUAAGUAAAGUAAAACACAGCAGCCACUUCUGGUCAUUCAAUCAUUUUACAGGUGUCUUAGAUUUAAAUCUAUCCUUCUAUGUCACUAAGAUUCAAGGUGAGUAUUAAUACUGAUUUCCAGUGUAAAGCAUUUCAGCAAUCUACAGCAGAACAUUACACCUCAGUUCCUCAAUCAGCAGCUUCUUAUUUGAUGCCACUUAAAAAUCCAAUGGCAACAACCAGCUUUGAAGCAGUUACUGUAACCUGCCUACUGUGAGCGGAUGCGCGUACUGCACACUACAUGCUGUAGAGGAAGUAAUUGUAAAUCCCUCUGUUAAUCCAAUAUCCAUCGCCCGUAUGACAACUUCCCAGUUUGCCUGCCCCCGAGCCAUGAAUUAAACUGCAGCAUGAAUUAAACUACAUGAAAAUGCAGAGAAUAUGUUAACCUUGUAGAUGAAAUUUUAGCUGUAACUGAUCUAAAAUAUCUGCAAGUACCGUAACACUAAUUGUAAUAAAAUUUGGCCAUCCUUUCUGGGAUAAAUUUAAUGCAUGUGUUCCACUCCAUCCUACCAAGCAGAGGGAGAAGUGUAAAUGUUUUUUAUUUGAGGGAUAACUGAAGGAGAACUAAGCAAACGACGGAAGACAUUAAAGUCAAACAACAACAAAAAGCACCCUUUGUCUCAGCGGGUAAGAUAAAUAUCACAUAUUUGACAAAAAGCCCUAUCUAAACAUAUAAUGGUUAAAAUCAGAGCUACGGGAAUCUAAAAAUGUCUUUAAGAGCAGAGUAAGCCAAGCAGAUGCACCAGCAGUUUCUAAAAACAGAUGAAAAAGGAAAUUACAGCAUAGUUUCCAAAGCAGCACACAUUGCUCCAUUUGCUUGAGCAGAACAGACAACCAGCAGAUCUCCUCACAAAAGGGGGUGGCACAGCGCUCAGACUGAAGUCCCAGCAUCUUCUGCGGUUCUGAUCUGUAUCAGUUCAUUUAGACAAGCAGCUCCCUUCCCCUCACCAUGGCCCAUUUCACCUGAGCCUUCUUUCUGAGCCCAUCUGCUUCAAACUUCUUUUCACUGUAAUUUAGAAGGACGCCUACAUCCAACCCCUCGAAAUGGUCAGAAGAACAUUUGGAUACAAGUGGCAACUCUUGUCAUGAAGCUGAUACCCACACAGGGUUGGAUGAGGGAUGUUUAUAAUUGAUACACAUCCUUUUUCGUUUGUUUGCUUACUUGUGAGCAGUUUCUUUUAUGUUCUGUUAUUGAAGUACAUGUGCUGACUGACUUAAGAAGACAGCCUUGUAAAUGAGAUCUUUGAUCUCAAGAGUUUAUUUUAUCUUUGCAGAAAGGAAAAGUGAGUUGAAUUGCCUGGCGGAACCAAAGCUUCUCUUUCUUCUGUUCUACAGCUGCUCCAUCCUUCUGGGCUCAUCAUCACUUCCACUUCCACCAAUAGAUUCCCUAUUUUGUCCAAGAAUUAAAAAGGCUUCUCCAGCAACUCACCACAGCUGGCAGCACAAGGCUGAAAGCUCUGCAGCUUCUGGUUCUUGUAGGAACCACACAGCAUGCUCGCACAGUUUUACUUCUGUAGGAGGAAUGUAUUUGACAAACUGCUGAACACUGAUACAGCAAAGCUCUUUGAGUUACUCUGAUGCCUCAUUAGAAAGUAAACUUGAAUAUUCAUUGCACUUCUGUGGUGAAACACAGACUAGAAAGACUACAGCCUGGAAGGCUGCGGACUGCAAACAAGCACUGGCUCUGAGAUGUUGAAAGAAGUACGCAGUCAUUACCUAUUACACUACCUGUAUGUGCCUGUUAAUGACAGAGGCAAUAACGCCAGGGAGCUUUGUGCUAUCUGCUGUAUGUACACAAAAAGACUCCACUGAGCACAAUACCAACACCAAUUUACUUCCCAGUUUGGAUCACCAAUACGAUAGUGUUGCUGUAUUGUUACCAUCUGCAUUUCAUUUUGUUCCUGCAUUUUCCUUAAAGCCAAUUUUAGCUACUACGACAAAAACUCCUUCGCAUAUCCUUGCCAUCCUUCCCCCCCUUUAGUUUGAUUUAAUUCCACCAUGUGUUCUUUGUUCCAAACAACAGAAAGGAAUACAGGAAACAUGAGGACUCUGCCAUUUCACUGUAGGUAGAUACUUGUACAAAACCAGUAGUUUCCAAUUGCCUCAAAGUAAUUGCAUGCAGAACAGCCAGGCUUAGUCAAGACCUUCAGCCCUCCCCAGGAAAGCAGGAAAGUUUGUCACUAAAGCAUCUCAGAAAGUUUGAAACAUUAUUUCUGAGAGUUGUAUUGACUGCUUAAACCAUUUAUACAUGGAGGAAAACGCUUCUGCACGCAGACCUAAGGACUUCAUCCACAGAGGUCAAAGCAGUGCUUUGGAUCUUAUUGCUUUUUGGAUCUUAUUCCAUCUCAGCAAGGCUCAUCAGCACGUGCUGAAGAAUUAAAACAGUCUUACUCACUGGCAUCACACAGAGCAAAGGGAAUAUCAAACACACAACAUAAAAUUUGCUCCCCGCUAAACUAAAUAGUGAGGCGCCAUGCCUUGAAUUUCCUUCUUAGACCCACGGAGUCUGAAAAUGAUGAAAUUCCAAAUCGACAAAAAUCAAAGUUGUGUUUUAUGAGCAGCAAUGCUUCCCAAUUAGCUGUCUGUUAACAGGAACAAGGUAGUGUCUUUUCUCCCCUUGCAGUAAGGAUGAAUACUUACAUUGCUUCUUUUGGAUGGCUCUGAUUCAGCCAGAAGGAAGGCUAACAAAGUGCCUAUGCAAAAAGGGUCCCCUUUGCAGGAUGAAGGCUGAGUCUAUUUUCUGGAAACAGUCUCAUCUCUGUAAGAGAUACUGAAAAGAAAGAGGCAGUUCUCUAGAAGAAUCAAAGGAAGGAAAUAUCUAAGAAAGAAUAUGGCCUCAGUGGAUAAUGGGGAGACUCACAAUGCUGCUUCAAGGAAUGCGACACUGAUGGGAAGAAAUUAGGCCCGAUGUACCUAUGGCUAACUUUGUGAGCUCGUUAUGCUCACAGAAAUUCAUCACAGCAGACGGGCUGAGCAAAUCCAACAUGGCUUAUUAAACUUUCCUUUUCCUUUUGUGCCCUUUGGUGCUUAGAAGGAGUCUGCCUUUGGAUUUUAAGGAGUUACUCACCAGGCUCAGCCUCUGUUGCUGUAGCAGAUACAUGUCAGCUUUGAAAGGAAAUCUGGUUAAUCUGGAAUCGCCCUGUCACCAGUUGUACUGUUGCAGUUCCCUGAGAAGGGAAGGAGUCAGCCCCUGUUAGUUGCCAUUCUGGUUCCUCUCUGUACUCACUAGGCUGAGAAAACCCAAAGCAAGAUGGAUGAUUAUGUCAUAACAACAGGGCAGUGAGGAGGAGAGGAAAGCAGUUUCUCAAGCACAAGCGUCAUGCUAUUGUUCUGAACAGCCCGCUCGUCCCGCACAGGGAGGCUGCUUCAGCUUUUUGUGGGCAUGACAGGUUCUCCAGCUAACAAUGCAAUAAACUGCGUGUUAUUUUGAGCUGCUGUAACUAGCACAGUGAUUACACUCUCUGCCUUUCACCCUUUUUUUUUUUUGCUCUAGGGUCAAAACCUCUCAUCCGUGACCACACAAGCAUGCACUGCCAGCUGUGGUAUCAAGGUUCAGGUCGUACUUUAUAGAAAACAACAGAAAGGGGAUCUGUAACCAUCUCCUUGACUGACCUCCUGUGCACAGCAUUGUCUGGUUCCACUUCUGAGUUUGUCACCAGGGAGCUGUCUGUAGGGAUGGGCUCACACUCAGCCUUCCGUAGAGCUGCUCUGGAUGCAAUUAUUCUUUGAUUUACCUUUGAACAUGUGGGCUUUGGUCUCCUUUUUCUACAUUUAAAAUUAGACUGUUCCAGAGGCCUGUAUUUACCACUUCUCCAGAGGAAAUAAGAAGUGUCUUGUUAUGUUUGAUUUAUUAGAAAGCUCCAUAAGGAAGCCAUCACAUAAAGCAGAGUACAUCUCUUGUAAGGAAAACGUACAGAACUGCAAAGGAAACUCAGAAUAUCCCAUGAACCAAACUCUACCAAACAAACUAUUUAAUAAAAGAGUGAAGGCAGAGUAAAGUGUCCACUAAUGGCAGUAACAAAGCUCCCAUUUACAGCAUUCCACCAGCACAGGAUCAUACCUCAGGCUUUCAUCAUUAGCUCUGGAGUUGACAACCUGUCUUAACUCCGAUGUUGCUGAUAUCAGCUAUGAAAUAUCUUUCAGUUCUGUCUAAACAAUUUACAUACAUACCCGUAACACAAUGCAAACAGCUUUAUUCCAGCUCUUAUUUGAAUAUACAGAAUAUACAGAAAAGACUGGCUGGGGCAUUUUACUACUCAGAUCUCAAUAUUGAUUAUAUUAUAACAGUUUAUACUUCCCUUCUUUAAAAUGAGUGGCCUAAUGUUGGAGCAUAACCAUUCAGCAUUUGCUGACAGUGACUGAUAUGCAUUUACAGCAUUAUACACUUCUAUAUGAAUUGAGACUGUUUGAAAUCUUUCAUUUUCUGAAGAUUCUGUACCAUCUUCAUGUUAUUAGCAGGCAAGUCCAUAAAUCUUACUAAUUUAUAACAGUCUAAGUGUCUUUUUUUCUUAUCCCAGUGGGAAGAAGUUCACCUUUGUGGUCUGGAUACCAUUAAGCUUCAAUCUACUUUUUAUGGAUGAUGUUAAGCAAGGGAGAGCCUCAACCCUUGCUAAAGAGAGGGCAGCAAGGAGAUGCACUCCAGUACCCCUGCUCGUUAUGAGAACUUGUGCUAUGUGCAAAUGUUAACCUUUAUGGAACACAGCUAAAGAUGCAGGCCAAAUGCUUAACCUACCGACCAUAUUUCUCACCAUGGGUGAAUGCAACCUCCUCCUCACACUCUUUUGCAUCUUCUUUUCUUUUAAAAGGACACCACAUUGGCUUGUGAGCCUAACAGAGCACGGCUCUGACAAGAUAUAAUUAUUUUAGAUGGAUUAUCUAGCUUUAAUCAAAACCGAAUGCAAAAA